GGAAUUUUCCGCAAUGGGCGAAAGCCUGACGGAGCAAUACCGCGUGAGGGAUGACUGCCUAUGGGUUGUAAACCUCUUUUUUCAGGGAGGAAUAAAUGACGUGUACCUGAAGAAUAAGCAUCGGCUAACUCCGUGCCAGCAGCCGCGGUAAGACGGAGGAUGCAAGUGUUAUCCGGAAUCACUGGGCGUAAAGCGUCUGUAGGUGGUCUAGUAAGUCAACUGUUAAAUCUCGAGGCUCAACUUCGAAAUCGCAGUCGAAACUAUUAGACUAGAGUAUAGUAGGGGUAAAGGGAAUUUCCAGUGGAGCGGUGAAAUGCGUAGAGAUUGGAAAGAACACCGAUGGCGAAGGCACUUUACUGGGCUAUUACUAACACUCAGAGACGAAAGCUAGGGGAGCAAAUGGGAUUAGAUACCCCAGUAGUC
RNAcentral lists this ribosomal RNA (423 nucleotides) under uncultured marine phototrophic eukaryote. RNAcentral's name for it is "bacterial SSU rRNA". It matches the Rfam family "Bacterial small subunit ribosomal RNA", at positions 358 to 795 of the family's 1533-position model. The record is from RNAcentral.